Molecule: ribosomal RNA, 453 nt
Filed under: uncultured bacterium
Lineage: Bacteria
Description: partial 16S ribosomal RNA
Rfam family: Bacterial small subunit ribosomal RNA
Source: RNAcentral
AACAAACGCUGGCGGCGUGCCUAAUACAUGCAAGUCGAACGGGGUAGCAAUACCUAGUGGCGCACGGGUGAGUAACGCGUGGAUAAUCUGCCUUAGAGUGGGGGAUAACUAGUCGAAAGAUUAGCUAAUACCGCAUAAGACCACAAGAGCUGCGGCUCAAGGGGUCAAAGGUUUUUCGCUCUAAGAUGAGUCCGCGUAAGAUUAGCUAGUUGGUGAGGUAAUGGCUCACCAAGGCGACGAUCUUUAACUGGUCUGAGAGGAUGAUCAGUCACACUGGAACUGAGACACGGUCCAGACUCCUACGGGAGGCAGCAGUAGGGAAUAUUGCACAAUGGAGGAAACUCUGAUGCAGCGACGCCGCGUGAGUGAUGAAGGCCUUCGGGUCGUAAAGCUCUGCCGCAGGGGAAUAACACAAUGAAUGUACCCUGUAAGAAAGGAUCGGCUAACUUCGUG